AUGACUUCGGUGAGAGCAUGGUGGAACGGCAACCUUCAAAUUUACCUUGGACCCCCUAAGGCGCUCGCCUCCGUUAUGAUGCUUAUCUCAUGGGAGAUAUGGACAGAGCGUAAUGCCAGAGUCUUUAGAAACACAGCCAUCCUUUCCACGGUCCUAAUCAGUAAGAUCAAAGCGAAGAUGUCUCUUUGGGCGAUGGCCGGCGCGAAGUACAUGAGUGUUGUAAUGCCGCGAGAGUAG
RNAcentral lists this ribosomal RNA (237 nucleotides) under Triticum aestivum (bread wheat). RNAcentral's name for it is "partial small subunit ribosomal RNA". Lineage: Eukaryota; Viridiplantae; Streptophyta; Magnoliopsida; Poales; Poaceae. The record is from RNAcentral.